ACUCAGUUGCUUAGGGUGCAUUUCAGUUGACCAUUGCAGUCCUUUGCUGGCUACCAUUGCUUAGUCUUUCAUUGUGAGCCAAACUCACCUGCAUGUGGACUGUAGCUUGGUCUGCUGCUUUAGGUAACCUCUUCUCCCACUUCCAGGACCCACAGGGUGUAACCCUCCUUCCUUGACAGGAAUGUUUCUAGUCAUCUGAUAUAAAAUGCCAUGGUCAUUAUAUUUUUUAAUCACUUAAUAUAUGUGAAGUUGUAUAAAGUUGCUGUAAUUUUUAAUACAUUCCUGAUUAAUGUUUUGAAUGCUAUGCACCUAACACAUCUAUAAACCCUGUGACUUUUAGCAUAUAAUUGAUACAAUAAAGAGAUUGUUAGUGAGACAAAUCCUUUGUUACGACAGAACGUGGGCAGUGGAAUUACUUAGGGAGCUUUAAAGUGCUGACCCUAUGCUCUGUGUGAGAAGCAUGCUUCAUCUGGCUUUCUGGUCAUGAAUCCCCAAAGUGAUAUUUCUAAAAGACUCAAUUAUUUAUGAUUGCAGCCAGGUUAGAGAUGGGCUGGAGCAGGGUAACCAAUUUGAAGAAAAUGUAGAGAAGUUUUUAUGAGUGGGCCACAUCUAAAGAUUCCUUUGUACUUGGAGUUGAGUCUUUGAAAACUCUGUUUUAUGGAAAUUUAAUGAGUUGUUUUCUGGAUUUCUGUAUCCCCUAAGGACUUAGAGACUCCCGCAUUUUCCUUAUGUAAUAGGCAAACUCAAAUAAAAAUAGUUGCUUUAGAGGAUCAUUUAUUUUGAGUUAUUGUGUAGUGCAGAAACUAUGCAUUCUUCAUGGAAUUUUAAUGUUGAGUUUGUGAAAAUAUUCAACCAAGAUGAAAGCAAUCAAGUACAUGGAGGAUAUAAUCUAUAGCACAAAGCUAUUUCUGACAGUUAUUAUUUAGGUAUUUUCAAGCUUGAAUCAUCUUGUUGAGAACCCUCAGUGCUUUGCUGUAAUUAUAGGCCCAGUAGUAGUUGUUCUUUUACUCAGUAUCCUAGAAUAUACACUUCUUGGUAUAAUAAGCCCAGAACACUUCAAUUACUACCUGUUCUGAGAAGCUGAUUCAUCUUACCACUUAUCUGCCAGCUCAAAGGUAAGGCAAGAAAGGACGUGUGCUUCUCUAAAAGGUGUAUGUUUCCUUUUAAAAAUGAUAUGUGCAUGAUUGCUUUAGCCACAAUUAUGUCUGUGCACCAUGUGAGCCCCCCAGAAGGUGGAGAUCUCCUGGCAUUACAGAUGGUUGAGAGCUAUAAUGUGGGUGCUGGGAUGCAAAUCCCUGUCCUUUGGAAGAAUCGUCAGUACUCUUAACUGCACAGCUAUUGCCAACCCUAAAAGGUAUACAUUUUCUCUCUCUCUCUAGUUUUUGUUUUCAGUAAUCUGAGCAUAUAGUUUACUUUGUAAAUGUUAUAUAGUCAGCCAUUUUAGUGUAGUUGAUACCAUUGGCCUCUAUUGGUUUCC
This 1477-nucleotide long non-coding RNA is filed under the name Mus musculus (house mouse). RNAcentral describes it as "long non-coding RNA chr17:63900502-63901979". Lineage: Eukaryota; Metazoa; Chordata; Mammalia; Rodentia; Muridae. The record is from RNAcentral.